AUUUCUUAUAGCUACUGUAUUCAUUGGUUGCAUAUCUUGAAUAAAACGUAAUAAUCUAUUUUUCUUAUGCACCAUAAAUCAACAACUAGAAUAUGGAGCAAAAAAAGGCUCCAAAAUUUUCAUUUGCAUCUUUUCUUUCAAUAAUUCCACCAAUUUAGGUAAAUGUACCCUUGGCACAAGAAUUGGCCUUAAGUUCCAAGGUACAUGAGGUACUGUAAAGAUAACCAUAGGAGCAACAAUUUUAGGAUCUAUUCAUGCUAUUUCACAAGACCCAAAGGCAAAUGAUUUACCUCGUUUCACAAGCAUUUUUUGAAAAUAUUCAAUUUCUGUUGGAAAUAAAGAACCAUCACAUCUAAUCUUCAAUUCUUCAAAAGUCUCCUUUAUAAAUUGAUGUCCAAUCUUCUUUGGAUCUCUUAAAUUCUCUUCUUUUGAUGCUUCCUCCAUUUGUUCCUUAGAAUCUUCUAGUAAAGGUUCGGCAACAGGUUUUAUUUUUUUAUCUAAUGUUUUAUAUUUUAUCUCUAUAAUAACUUUUGGUGCUUGAAAAGAUUUAAAUAUAGUAUAAACCUCCCUCGAAUGAAUUUCUACAAUCUUAUCAUUAUUUCUUAAUCUAAUAGAUGCAAUUAAUUCUAAAGAAUCUUCCAAUCCAUUU
RNAcentral lists this long non-coding RNA (649 nucleotides) under Physcomitrium patens. RNAcentral's name for it is "long non-coding RNA (PPAT_LNC010964)". Lineage: Eukaryota; Viridiplantae; Streptophyta; Bryopsida; Funariales; Funariaceae. The record is from RNAcentral.